AGGUGGGGGCUGGAUGAUCAUUUGUCUUUGUGUCUUCUGAGAGUGACGUGUGAUUGAAGAAUGUCCUUACAAGUCAGUGUGAUGAAGACAAUGCAAACUUUACGUCAGGACCCGUCCUUUGGUGGCAUCAAAAGCAGCAGCAGCAGAGACCGAAACCCGUGGACUGCUUGUGAAAUUGCACCGAAGGAGGAAAAAAAAAUCAGUGAGGCAGCAAUCAGUAACAUAUGCAGCCUAAAUAUUGUGUAGGAUGAGCAGAAGUCCUUUUCUCCUUGGCGUGUGUGCGUGCGAGGCAGAUCAAGCAAACCCGACGACGACGCUUCAGCGGGAGCAGCAGCCCUGUCGGGAUGGCAGCCGAGCGGUGACAGCGUUGUGCUGCCAUGUCCCGGGGCUUACAGGCCAUACAGUUGAGUUUGGAAAUUCAGCACGACACCAGUGCUGGCAGACCUCUGAAGCAGGGCAGCGACACACUCACCCCGUACACAUCAGACCACAGCUACAACUGUGAGAGCGGCUGGCUGCCGAGCACAGGGGUGUGUUGGUAAACAAACUGUAAAUCCUCAUAAGGAAGAGUUACUGCAGUCACACUGAAGGCUUAAAAAAUAUAUUUAAUGCUUUAAACAAUUUUAAGUGCUAUUUAAAAAC
This is a long non-coding RNA of Acanthopagrus latus (yellowfin seabream), 642 nucleotides long. RefSeq lists it as uncharacterized. Lineage: Eukaryota; Metazoa; Chordata; Actinopteri; Spariformes; Sparidae. The record is from RefSeq and is a predicted model, not a curated record. The transcript has 3 exons.